GAGGAACGCCGAAGAUCUGGUUUC
Molecule: non-coding RNA, 24 nt
Filed under: Arabidopsis thaliana (thale cress)
Lineage: Eukaryota; Viridiplantae; Streptophyta; Magnoliopsida; Brassicales; Brassicaceae
Source: RNAcentral